Molecule: long non-coding RNA, 707 nt
Filed under: Mus musculus (house mouse)
Lineage: Eukaryota; Metazoa; Chordata; Mammalia; Rodentia; Muridae
Description: RIKEN cDNA 1110019D14 gene
Source: RNAcentral
GAGGGAUAGACCACAGGCUGCUUGUUGUUCGGGUUUCACAAGUUUGCCCUCUGGUUUUACUGUUAAAGAGAGGCCAUUGUAACUGAGAACUAGCUUCGAAUACAGCUGCUGCUACAUCUUUCCAGGCUUAUGAGAUAAUCCUGUUUUUGGUAGCCAGGUAUUUAACAUCUGUCUUUCAACGGAAAGAACCCAGAUGCCCCUCAACAGAGGAAUGGAUACAUAAAAUGUGGUACAUUUACACAAUGGAGUAUUUCUCAGCUAUUAAAAAAAAUGAAUUUAUGAAAUACCUAGGCAAAUGGAUGGACCUAGAGGGCAUCAUCCUGAGUGAGAAGCAAAGCUUGAAUGAGCAGCUUUCUUUUGUCAGGGGGGCUAUUACUUCUCUUAAGAAUAGAUUUCUAGGGGUUAAACUAUUGGCUGAAAGAUACAGGAACUAUCUUUUCCUGAAGAUUUUGGAAGAAAGGAAAUCCAGCCUCUGAGGCUUUGAUGGAACUUGAUCAAGAGUGUUCCUCUAGAAUCUGAAGUUUAUAAACUUUGUUAAUACUGAGAAAUGUCUCCAUCCUAGGAACACUCCUCCAUUGUUGGUGGGAUUGCAAGCUUGUACAACCACUCUGGAAAUCCGUCUGCGGUUCCUCAGAAAAUUGGACAUAGUACUACUGGAGGAUGCUGCAAUACCUCUUCUGGGCAUAUAUCCAGAAGAUGUUCCAACU